Molecule: long non-coding RNA, 5647 nt
Filed under: Homo sapiens (human)
Lineage: Eukaryota; Metazoa; Chordata; Mammalia; Primates; Hominidae
Description: HSALNT0286437
Source: RNAcentral
GCCUACCUGAAGCUCUGGACAGAGUGAGGUCCAGGUGUAGGAACUGGCCCGUGGGGAGGGAAGACUAAGUCGGCCUCUGGCAGGAAGUCCAGGCCCAGGAAGUUGUAGGGUGGGGUCUUGGUAUUCUCCCAGUAUGGGCGGGACUGGAGGAAGCCACCAACCAACGAAGUACUGGGCCUGUGGGUAUUCGUCUCUCUCCCCGCCCCUGAGAGUCUGGGAAAGGCUGACACGUGGUGCCUUCAGGCUCUGGGGCCUAGGACCUUUGUGGUAGCAGAGUCACUGCAGAGAACCAGACAAUACCAGGUUGCUUAUAAAAGGAUGCCAUGUGCUUGCUGGAGGUCCCAGGUGCAACCAAAUUGCUUGCAGCUAGGAGGACCUUGAAGAGAAAUGGGAUCAGCCCGCCAAACCAAGAAGGGUUAGCACUUUUGCUAGGAGAGCUGACCACGCACAAACAGAUGAGAACCAAAACCGAGUGAAGAGGAUUGAAGAUGAACCCACAUUUUAAAAGUUCUUGUCUGCUGGAGGUGGCAUUACCUGUGACCUCGCUUCACUUCUCCAUACAUGGCUGUUAUAGCAGAAAAUCCAGCUUUCUGAAGCAUAUUUCACGACAUAUGAUGAGACUUAUGUGAUGUGAGACCUGAGAAAACUAUGAUAGAAAGAAGCAACUCAAGUUGCAAGGAUAUUCCUCAUGUAUCAUGCAAGGAUAUUCCUCAUAUAUCAUAGACUAAGGUGUCAGUAUGUUCUUCAAGCUGCUCUGCUCCUGGGCCCAAGCUAUUCUCCUGCCUCAGCCUUCCAAGAAGCUGAAACUACAAGAACACAAGACUGUACCUGGCUUGCAAACACCAUUGCUAAUAAGAAGAUAUUGUAAGACUGAUACCUAAGAGAUAAGAGACAUGGAUCCCUGAGGUCGGUCCCCAAUACGACAAGACAAUUUGAUAUCAUAAUAGAACACUGCAGAAACAAUGCUGAGUGAAGAAGAGUAGAAAUGGGAAGACUUGGUUGAGCGGAAACUGAGUUCUUGAAAAGAGGAGAUGCUUGAUGAGGGCAUGGAUCCCUGAGGUCUGCCCCAGUACUAUAAGACAAUUUGAUGUAAGAAAACACAGCAGAUAUAAUACUGAGUGAAGAAGAGUAUAAAUGAGAAGAUUGGUUGUGCAGAUACUGAGUUCAUGAAAAGAGGAGAUGAUUGAUGAGGCCAGGUGCGGUGACUCAUGCCUGUAAUCCCUGCACUUUGGGAGGCUGCGGCGGGCGGAUCACCUGAGGUCAGGAGUUCGAGACCAGCCUGGGAGACAGAGCAUGGAAACCUAAGGUCUGUACCCAAAACUACAGGACUAUUUGACAUCAUAAUAAAACACUGCAGAUAUGAUGCUGAGUAAGAGUAGAAAUGGGAAGACUUGGUUGUGCAGUAACUGAGUUCUUGAAAAGAGGAGAUGCUUGAUGAGGGCAUGGAUCACUAAGGUCUGUUCCCAAUACAAGAAGACUCUUUGACAUCAUAAUAAAAUACUGCAGAUACGAUGCUGAGUGAAAAAGAGUAGAAAUGGGAAGACUUGGUUGUGCAGAAACUGAGUUCUUAAAGAGAGGAGAUACUUUAUGAGGGUUGCAGGGCUUUGACUCCUGGGUACAUGUAUCUCAUCUGAAAGGGAAUCCUGACGCCUACUGAAUCUUAAUAGUCAAUAUUGAUAUCUGGCAUCAAAUUCAAGUUGACCAAAGUUCCAUCUUCAGACCUGGGAGAAGAUGACAGUCAAAAUGAACUGCUUUCAUGUGACACUGGACCAGGCCUAUAUACAAAGGCAUAAGUAAUCAUUGAAUAAUGUUUCAUCUAUCUAUCUUAAUAUAAUUUGUUCUAUGCCUUACUAGAUAAAUGUUUAGUUACCUGUGAGUUUUCUUUUCCUGCCAUUGUCAGAGCUAGGCAGGGCUUAAGUCCCUUUCGUUUAAACAUUACUAACUCUAUACAUAGCUUGCAAAAUUGGAUAAAACAACAAAGGUUACUUUUUCACUCUCUCUCUGCUUAAUAUCUCUGAAAUUUAAAACUAUUCAGAAUCCCACUGGGCCCGAUCUAUUUUCAAUGCUAAUGCUCCACUGCUAAAACUAUAUAAGCAUCUUCCCUCUAGGCUCAGGCACUAUCUUGGAAGAGGUAAAUGUGUAAGAUUGUAAAGGUUGAUUUUUGAGCAACAAAAUUAAUUUAGAUCUUCCAAAUAAAAAAUGGGCACACAGAUGCCCAAACAGUUGGCAAAAUAAGAUACUUUACCUCCUGGACCAGUAUGUGGACCUUUUUCAUCCAUCCCAACCAUAAUUUCCUCUUUCCUGUAGAAUUAAAAGAAAAUUGCAAAGAGGAUAUGAACUUUUCUGGUAAGAAAACCUCCUGGGUAUAGUGCUCCCAGUUAUGAGAUUUAUGCAGAUUGUUAUAUAAAGUUUUUUUAAAUCAAGCACCUUAGGACAAACUAUUAAAAAGACUGCUAAAAGCGUUGUGACACAACAAAAGUCUCUAAAUUCUGUAGCUUAAAAAGUUUUAACAAAGUACUUAUCUUUUGCAAGCUAAUUGCUACAAGUCUAUAACUAAAACAUGUAUUGACUGAUGUCUUAGGUCUCCCUAAAAUAUAUAAAACCAAGUUGUAAACCAAUCACCUUGGACACAUGUUCUCAGGACCUCUGGAGACUGUGCCUUGGGCCAUGGUCACUCAUAUUUGGCUGAGAAUAAAAUUUUAAAAAUAUUUUACAGAGUUGGGUUUUUCUUGUUGGCUUUUUCAUAAAAUGUAAAAUGUUUGAGAAAGACACUUCUCAAGUGGCCAAGUGAGGAUAUUCUAGCUUAAUGCGUAGAAUUUAUAGCUAAGUCAAUUUUGUAACCUUGCCUUUUGACUUUUGGUUCUUGAUGCUUACAUUACAAAAUUUUAAGGUUUGAUAAAUGCCUGCUCCACUUCCAUUCCCAUCUGGCCUAGGAUAUUUAAAUUGGCUAUAAGUCUUUUGGCUCUACAUCUGUUGGCCGUGAGUCCCCACCAAGGGAUAGGAUAGACCCAGGGCACAUAGCCACACCACCCCAGCAAUGGUAUGCAACAAAAUGAUAGUUUGGCCAUUGAUGUUGCCUCUGGGAAAUUUUUUUUUUUUUUUUGACGAAGUCUUGCUCUGUUGCCCAAGCUGGAGUGCAGUGGUGUGUUCUAGGCUGACUGCAACCUUUGCUUCCUGGGUUCAAGUGAUUCUCUUGCUUCAGCCUCCCAAAUGGCUGGUAUUACAGACGUGCACCACCACACCUGGCUAAUUUUUUUUUUUUUUUUUUGAGACAGAGUCUCACUCUGUCAUUCAGGCUGGAGUGCAGUGGCACAAUCUCGGUUCACUGCAACCUCCAUUUCCCGGGUUCAAGUGAUUCUCCUGCCUCAGCCUCCUGAGUAGCUGGGAUUAUAGGCAUGCACCACCAGGCCCAGCUAAUUUUUGUAUUUUUUUGUAGAGAUGGGGUUUCGCCAUGUUAGUCAGGCUAGUCUCGAACUCCUGACCUCGUGAUCCACCUGCCUCGGCCUCCCAAAGUGAUGGGAUUAUAGGCGUGAGCCACUGUGCCUGGCCUAAUUUUAGUAUUUUUAGUAGAGAUGGGGUUUCGCAAUGUUGGCCAGGCUAGUCUCGAACUCCUGACUUCAGGUGAUCUGCCUGCCUUGGCCUCCCAAAGUGCUGGGAUUACAGGUGUGAGCCACCACGCUUGGCCUCCUCUGCUCAAUCCUGACCAGAAAAAUCAAAUUCUAACUCCCCCAAUCAACUGAAUUCCCCUCCAUUCAUCUGCCAAGGGGAUUCUAAAGAAUCCUGAAAACUAGUUCAGGCCAUGACAAUUGACAUUAAAACAGAUCUUAAAACUGACAAAACAGAUUCUUUGUAGCAAUAAGAUACCAAAUUUCAACCUGACUCAGGUAUAACUUCACAUGAUAAAAAAGGAAAUAAAAAUAUUUUACCCCCAAAAUAGAUUUCUUUGACAUAUUUUGAAAUGGCCCUGCAAGGCAGUUGGGGAAAUUUUGCAUCUGUAAAGCAUCUCCUUAACAUAACUAGAUCUUUCCCCUUCCAGGCCCUCCUAAACCUGAAGAGAUUAACUGAGAUUCUAGCACCUUUUAAAGUCUACAUAGGAAACAUUCACCAUUUAUUAUCUCUAAGGGCAGCCACUUAUGAGACUUCAUCUAUGUAAUAAAAACCUUGGUCUCCACAACCCCUUAUGUUAACCCAGACACUCCUUUCUAUUGAUUCCAGGUCUUUAGAAAAUAACUUAACUCCUCCAAGCAAUUGCCAAACAGAAAACCUUGGCAUCUUCCUAUGACCUGUAAGCACCCACUUUCCCCUGCUUUAAGUUGUCCUACCCUUCUGCACCAAACCAAUGUAUACCUCACAUGUAUUGAUUGAUGUCUUCUGUCUCUCUAAAACAUAGAAAAGAAAGCUGUAACCCAACCACCUUGGUCAGGACGUCUUGAGACUGUGCCUUGCGCCAUGGUCAGUCGUAUUUUGUGCAGAAUAAACAUUUUUCAAUAUUUUACAGAGUUUGGCUUUUUUGUUGACUUUUUUCAUAAAACAUGAAAGAUUAUGUUUGAGAAAGGCGUUUCUCAAGUGACCAUGUGAAGAUGUUGGGAAAUCCUCUCGCCAAAGAACAACUAUGAAAUGGACAAAACCAACCAUUUCUGUGCUCUGGAAAUUAAAUGUGCACAACAAUGUUAAACUUUGGGCAAGAAAGUUUGAACUCUGAUACGGUUUUGAUUUGUGUCACUGCUGAAAUCUCUUGUGCAAUUGUGACCCUCAGUGUUGGAGGAGGGGCCUGGUGGGAAGUGAUUGGAUCAUGGGGGUGGAUUUCCCCCUUGCUGUUCUCAUGUAGUGAGUGAGUUCUCGUGAGAUCUGGUUGUUUAAAAGUGUGUAGCAUCUCCCCCUGCUCUCUUCCUCCUUCUCUGGCCAUGUAAAACCUGCCUGCUUCCCCUUUGCCUUCUACCAUGAUUGUAAGUUUCCUGAGGCCUCCACAGCCAUGCUUCCUGUACAGACUGUGGAAGUGUAAGUCAAUUAAACGUCUUUAGUCUUUAAACCUAUAAAUAUCUUUGUAACAACUUCCUUAGCUACAAUCUAUAAGUUAUUUAUAGAUUACACAGUCUCAGGUAGUUCUUAAUAGCAAUGCAAAAAUGCACUAAUACAAACCCUGUUUUGGUCUGGCCUGUGGCUGCUUCCGUAUUUCUCUUUCCUAGGUCCAUCUAUAGGGACAUUCUGCCAAGGUGAAAUAAAGACUGAUAAAAUUCCUUACUAGCAAACUUGUAUUACAAGAAAUAACUAAAAACAGUCCUUCAGUCUAAAAGGAAAUGACUCUAUAUGGUGACUUGAAUCCACAAGAAUAAAUGAAGGGCACAGGAAAUGGUAAAUAGCUGGGUUAAUAUAAAAAAGACUCUAUGUAUUGUUUUUUCAUUUUUUCUAUAUUAUCUAAAUGACCUAAGAUUAUGUGAAGUAAUAAUUAUUACAUUGUACUGUUGGUUUUAAAAUAUAUAACUGUAAUUUAUAUGAUAACAGACCAAUGUUGGAGGGGUUUGGAAAUAAAUAUGAGCAAAGUUUCUAUGUUUUACUUGAAGUAAGUUAGUAUUAAGCUGAUGUAUAUUCUGAUAGGUUAAAAUGUAUAUUGUAACCCUUAGAACAACUAUUAAAAUAAAUCAAAAGC